AGAGUUUGAUUAUGGCUCAGGAUGAACGCUAGCUACAGGCUUAACACAUGCAAGUCGAGGGGCAGCAUUGGAGUAGCAAUACUCAGAUGGCGACCGGCGCACGGGUGAGUAACACGUAUCCAACCUGCCGCUUACUCGGGGAUAGCCUUUCGAAAGAAAGAUUAAUACCCGAUGGUAUAAAGAGUUCGCAUGUUCUCUUUAUUAAAGAAUUUCGGUAAGCGAUGGGGAUGCGUUCCAUUAGAUAGUUGGCGGGGUAACGGCCCACCAAGUCUACGAUGGAUAGGGGUUCUGAGAGGAAGGUCCCCCACAUUGGAACUGAGACACGGUCCAAACUCCUACGGGAGGCAGCAGUGAGGAAUAUUGGUCAAUGGACGAGAGUCUGAACCAGCCAAAGUAGCGUGAAGGAUGACUGCCCUAUGGGUUGUAAACUUCUUUUAUAAGGGAAUAAAGUGGGGGACGUGUCCCUUUUUGUAUGUACCUUAUGAAUAAGGAUCGGCUAACUCCGUGCCAGCCGCCGC
Molecule: ribosomal RNA, 518 nt
Filed under: uncultured bacterium
Lineage: Bacteria
Description: bacterial SSU rRNA
Rfam family: Bacterial small subunit ribosomal RNA
Source: RNAcentral